GCAGUCCGCACAAUCGAUAAGUCCACCGAUAUUAACAGCUGUUUUUUACAACAGAAAAAAACACAUCACUAACAAAACAAAACAGCUGCCGCGCAAUUGGAAAUUGCGCUAAACAAAAGGAAAUCCAAAACAAACUAUUGACGACGGGCCACAGCUGGACCCCGGCGUACCCACCCUGCCUGAGAUGGCCACAUCGGCGCCAUCUCCCUUUGCGUUGGCCACUAUAUCAGUGGCUGCUCCUCAUCCGGUGUAGCGCUGUCGAAUUUCCCUCCCCUCCAUGCUGAGAAGACUCACACAACCAUGUUCAACGUAUAAUAUUAAUAGAUAUUCGAAUUUCAUUACAGCUACACGGAACAGGAUUCGAAGGAAAAGCAAAUAACAAAACAAACAAAGCGGAACAACAAAGAAAUAAUAACGGAGUAGGGACAAUUUAUAUAUGUUACGUAAAGAGAUCACAGAUAGGUAUAUUUAUGUAUGUAUGUAUGUAUACGCAUAUUUGGGUGUAUGUAUGUA
This is a long non-coding RNA of Drosophila sulfurigaster albostrigata, 513 nucleotides long. RefSeq lists it as uncharacterized. The record is from RefSeq and is a predicted model, not a curated record. The transcript has 3 exons. Lineage: Eukaryota; Metazoa; Arthropoda; Insecta; Diptera; Drosophilidae.